CAAAUAGUAGUUUAUAAAAAACAAUAGACUUGGAUUCUAUAGAAUACUCUUGUACUAUCUGA
This 62-nucleotide transfer RNA is filed under the name Scutopus robustus. Its description in RNAcentral is "tRNA-Pro". Lineage: Eukaryota; Metazoa; Mollusca; Caudofoveata; Limifossorida; Scutopodidae. The record is from RNAcentral.